CAAGUCAAUACCUUACUCGGAUUGCUUAUUUUUUAUGGCACAUACAUUAUAACCCGUGUGAUGGAUUGAAUAUCUUAUCAAAUUUUGGUGCCUUUAUGCAGUUGCCCAUAGUAGGUCUCCUAUUAUCUAUUGUUUUGCAUUCCUUUCGCUCUAUUGUUUUCUCAAGCUUCGGCCUUGGUUGGUCCACCUUUCCCAUUUAGAGUGUAAUUUGCAGCGCCGAGUUGCCCACAAUUGACAGCCACAAAAUGGUCACAUAUCUAUGAGCUCCUUUAUUCAUCGUAUGUUGUUGAAAAUAUUAUGUUUAUGAGCCUUGAUCGUUGUGUCAAAAACAAAUCAGGAUUCUUUUAUUUAAUUUUUUUCCUUUUAUUUGUACAAUUCCUAAUUCAUUUUAUCACUCAUUUCUUUAUGUUCUUUCAGACCCCUCAACAU
Morus notabilis is the source of this 429-nucleotide long non-coding RNA. RefSeq lists it as uncharacterized. Lineage: Eukaryota; Viridiplantae; Streptophyta; Magnoliopsida; Rosales; Moraceae. The transcript is spliced from 3 exons. The record is from RefSeq and is a predicted model, not a curated record.